UUUCCGUAGGUGAACCUGCGGAAGGAUCAUUAAUUAUAUAAGGCCACAGGGCAAGCGUUCCGAAAGGAUCGAGCUUGCUGUUUGAACCCUACCUACCCUUGCUUUUUGCGUACCCAUUGUUUCCUCGGCAGGCUUGCCUGUCAGUAGGACCCUCUUAAACCCUUUGUAAUUGCAGUCAGCGUCAGAAACAACGUAAUCGUUACAACUUUCAACAACGGAUCUCUUGGUUCUG
This 232-nucleotide unclassified non-coding RNA is filed under the name plant metagenome. RNAcentral's name for it is "partial contains small subunit ribosomal RNA, internal transcribed spacer 1, and 5.8S ribosomal RNA". The record is from RNAcentral.